Long non-coding RNA from Amphibalanus amphitrite, 610 nucleotides. RefSeq lists it as uncharacterized. The record is from RefSeq and is a predicted model, not a curated record. NCBI's taxonomy places the organism in Eukaryota, Metazoa, Arthropoda, Thecostraca, Balanomorpha, Balanidae. The transcript has 2 exons.
GUGAGGCGUUGAGACAAUGUAGAAUGCUGCAGAACCCGUAAUCGGAUCGAUGUCACUCAGCAAUAUCCUCUGCAGCGUGGAAUUGGAUUGCAAAAAGGUCUUCCAGGGCUGGCGGCGGAUGUUUUGAAAAAGGACCGUUUGCGAAUGUGCAUAUUCAGAUUGUUAGCGCUGAAAAACUAUACUGUUACAGCGUAAACAGAACUCGUACUGACUCGCGUGGUUGACGGUAGUGAUGUUUUUUUUUCGUGUCAGGGAGAUUGCGAGCUCUGCACUUUUCUCAUCAGUUAGGUUUCACUGUUCAAGGAGUACCUUAGCGUUCUAACUCGGUGGGCUGUAACGAUGACCAGGUCACGACAGGGCAGUAUUAAGUGGUCCAAACAUUAAUACUCAGUACUCACAUGUGCUUCGUAGACUGAAUCAUCUUUUCAAGAUAUGACUGUUGUGUUGAGUAAAGUGGGAAUGCGCACACAGUUAUGUAUCGCUCCGUAAUGUAGAAUGCGGCAGGAUGUAACGUUUCCCAAUCGUUACUCUUACACACGCAGGUAUUGCUUUGGAUAGUAUUCUGUAUGCUGGUUUUGUAUUUAAUGAAUACAUAUAUCUAUUUGUAAUA